RNAcentral lists this unclassified non-coding RNA (309 nucleotides) under fungal sp. Its description in RNAcentral is "partial internal transcribed spacer region". The stretch from base 1 to 46 matches the Rfam family "Eukaryotic small subunit ribosomal RNA", at positions 1786 to 1831 of the family's 1831-position model. Lineage: Eukaryota; Fungi. The record is from RNAcentral.
AAGUCGUAACAAGGUUUCCGUAGGUGAACCUGCGGAAGGAUCAUUCGAGAGUGAAUUAAAUACUGUGAUCAGAGUCAAAUCUGUGAGCUUUGUUUUCUUCUUUAACCAUGUGAACAUUAUAAAUUUUUUAUGUGACCUCGCGGUGUUAGAUUAGGCUCUAGUAUGACCAACGUUUUGAUUAACAAUGGUUGUAUUAUCUUAGUCUAACCAGAGUCAGGCACAGUAGCUUAUAUUAACCCUUUAAUUCCUUAUUGCCUAAAAUUAUAAAUUAAAACAACAUAACCUUUAACAAUGGAUCUCUUGGCUCCU